RNAcentral lists this ribosomal RNA (284 nucleotides) under Eubacterium coprostanoligenes. Its description in RNAcentral is "partial 16S ribosomal RNA". It matches the Rfam family "Bacterial small subunit ribosomal RNA", at positions 493 to 776 of the family's 1533-position model. The record is from RNAcentral. Lineage: Bacteria; Bacillati; Bacillota; Clostridia; Eubacteriales; Eubacteriaceae.
UCUUUUCCUUUUUUUCCAGCAGCCGCGGUAAUACGUAGGUGGCAAGCGUUGUCCGGAAUUACUGGGUGUAAAGGGAGCGCAGGCGGGUGAUCAAGUCAGCUGUGAAAACUACGGGCUUAACCCGUAGACUGCAGUUGAAACUGUUCAUCUUGAGUGAAGUAGAGGUUGGCGGAAUUCCGAGUGUAGCGGUGAAAUGCGUAGAUAUUCGGAGGAACACCGGUGGCGAAGGCGGCCAACUGGGCUUUAACUGACGCUGAGGCUCGAAAGUGUGGGGAGCAAACAGG